GACGAACGCUGGCGGCGUGCCUAAUACAUGCAAGUCGAACGCUGAAGGAGGAGCUUGCUCUUCUGGAUGAGUUGCGAACGGGUGAGUAACGCGUAGGUAACCUGCCUGGUAGCGGGGGAUAACUAUUGGAAACGAUAGCUAAUACCGCAUAAGAGUAGCUGUUGCAUGACAUUUACUUAAAAGGUGCAAUUGCAUCACUACCAGAUGGACCUGCGUUGUAUUAGCUAGUUGGUGGGGUAACGGCUUACCAAGGCGACGAUACAUAGCCGACCUGAGAGGGGGAUCGGCCACACUGGGACUGAGACACGGCCCAGACGCCUACGGGAGGCAGCAGUAGGGAAUCUUCGGCAAUGGACGGAAGUCUGACCGAGCAACGCCGCGUGAGUGAAGAAGGUUUUCGGAUCGUAAAGCUCUGUUGUAAGAGAAGAACGGGUGUGAGAGUGGAAAGUUCACACUGUGACGGUAUCGUACCAGAAAGGGACGGCUAACUACGU
RNAcentral lists this ribosomal RNA (494 nucleotides) under uncultured bacterium. RNAcentral describes it as "partial 16S ribosomal RNA". It matches the Rfam family "Bacterial small subunit ribosomal RNA", at positions 28 to 506 of the family's 1533-position model. The record is from RNAcentral.